AGCCAGGUGUAGGAUUUAUGAAGUGAAAUAAAUGUUGCUUUAAGAUUGCCACGGAAUUCUGAGUAAGUCAGAGGAAGAGAAUUUUCCAGAGCCUUAGGAGAGGCAGUUGGUAAAAAUGACACCACUUCUGGGAGAGAGACUCAGAGGCUGGUUGGUCCUGGUUUUUCCCUCUGAUCAUCCUUGAGGAUAUUGGUGAAGAUUGAAUUUGAAACCAGCUUGAUAUUAAGAUAUUAAGAAACUUGGAAAGAUGACUGAUCAGAAAGCAGGAGUUACUGUGCCCCAUUCUGAGGUAUUCCUUUGGUGGUCACCAGAGAGCAACUGCUUUGAGAGCUCAUCCUCUAAAGAGGGAACAAGCCACACUACCCUGGGGGCUGAGUAAACCCUGCCGACAGUACAACUUCCUUUCCUGGUGUGCCCCAACCAUCAAGUAGGCGGCUCCUUCCAAGAAUGCAAAAGCGAAUCUCACCAGAAUCCAAAAGGAAGGAAUCACUCUACUCAACACCACAAGAUCCAAGGAAAGAGUAUUUUCCAGUCUGGCUCACCAAUGCAGAGAUUGUACAGUGGUCUGGAAGAACUCUUCUGAAGAUCAAUGAUGAAAAGCAACAAAGUGGAGUAGGAAAGGUGCUGGUUGUUGAACCAGUAAGACCUGUGUUUAAGUCAGGGGUGGGCUGGGAAACAUUUAAUAACUGUUUCUCUGGGAAAAUAUACAUGACAUCCUUUUAAAAUUAACCUGAUUAUUAAUAUUUUAUUGCUCUCUUGAGUUUGACUUGUAUUAUUUGCCAGUUUCCAAUUUAUAAAUGCUUAACACUGAAAAUUUAACACUCGAUCUCAUGAGCUGAUUCAAGCUGCCUCCUGCAAGUACCUUCAAGUCUUGUCUCUAAUGCUUAUUUGCCACAUGACUAUGACCUCUUCCCCUUCCUCAUCUAUAAAAUGCUAAUAAUAAUACCUGUAACAUCUAUCUCACAAAAUGGUUGUAAGACUCAAACACCUGUGUAUACUUUAAACCCCCAUAUAAGCAUCUGCUUAUAUUUUCUAUUGCUGUCAGUGUAGCAGGUGGAGCAGUCUGGGUCCCUCUGAAGCCUUUCCCCAAUCUCUUAAUAUUGAUGCCUUCCUUCUCAUAUCAUUUCCAAUUUAUCUUAUAUUCAUUUUAUUUGUACAUUUUAUUUGCCCCAUUAGGCUGAGCUCCUUGAGGUCAGU
Molecule: long non-coding RNA, 1197 nt
Filed under: Monodelphis domestica (gray short-tailed opossum)
Lineage: Eukaryota; Metazoa; Chordata; Mammalia; Didelphimorphia; Didelphidae
Description: lncRNA (ENSMODG00000040271.1)
Source: RNAcentral